Molecule: small nuclear RNA, 302 nt
Filed under: Meriones unguiculatus (Mongolian gerbil)
Lineage: Eukaryota; Metazoa; Chordata; Mammalia; Rodentia; Muridae
Description: 7SK RNA (ENSMUGG00000000455.1)
Rfam family: 7SK RNA
About the family: 7SK was discovered as an abundant small nuclear RNA in the mid-70s but a possible function has only recently been suggested.
Source: RNAcentral
GGAUGUGAGGGUGAUCUAGCUGUGACAUCUGUCGCUUCAUUGAUCGCCAGGGUUGAGUCGGCUGAUCUGUCUAGCUAGGUGGGUGUCCCCUUUCUCCCUCACAGCUCCAUGUGCAACCCUCCCAAAGCUGCAUGCUUGGUCAAAGAAGAUGACCUUCCCUGAUUAGAGGAGGACCCGUCUUCAGUCAAGGGGAUAUGAGAGGCUGCACUUCCCUCCAAAGAACCUCCAAACAAGAAGUUACAUCAAACAGCUAAGUCCUACUCACAUGAGCCAUGCUCAGCAGUGUUUGAUUGGAUGUGCUC